RNAcentral lists this ribosomal RNA (253 nucleotides) under uncultured bacterium. RNAcentral's name for it is "partial 16S ribosomal RNA". It matches the Rfam family "Bacterial small subunit ribosomal RNA", at positions 524 to 776 of the family's 1533-position model. The record is from RNAcentral.
UACGGGGGGGGCAAGCGUUGUUCGGAAUUACUGGGCGUAAAGGGCUCGUAGGCGGCCAACUAAGUCGGACGUGAAAUCCCUCGGCUCAACCGGGGAACUGCGUCCGAUACUGGAUGGCUUGAGUUCGGGAGAGGGAUGCGGAAUUCCAGGUGUAGCGGUGAAAUGCGUAGAUAUCUGGAGGAACACCGGUGGCGAAGGCGGCAUCCUGGACCGACACUGACGCUGAGGAGCGAAAGCGUGGGGAGCAAACAGG